UACGUAGGUGGCAAGCGUUAUCCGGAAUUAUUGGGCGUAAAGAGCGCGCAGGUGGUUGAUUAAGUCUGAUGUGAAAGCCCACGGCUUAACCGUGGAGGGUCAUUGGAAACUGGUCGACUUGAGUGCAGAAGAGGGAAGUGGAAUUCCAUGUGUAGCGGUGAAAUGCGUAGAGAUAUGGAGGAACACCAGUGGCGAAGGCGACUUUCUGGUCUGUAACUGACGCUGAGGCUCGAAAGCGUGGGGAGCGAACAGGAUUAGAUACCCCCGUA
This 269-nucleotide ribosomal RNA is filed under the name uncultured prokaryote. RNAcentral describes it as "partial 16S ribosomal RNA". It matches the Rfam family "Bacterial small subunit ribosomal RNA", at positions 524 to 792 of the family's 1533-position model. The record is from RNAcentral.